This 1546-nucleotide unclassified non-coding RNA is filed under the name Leishmania donovani. RNAcentral's name for it is "gene:LdHU3.35.3200(CDS-product:Fumarylacetoacetat e_(FAA)_hydrolase_family_putative)". The record is from RNAcentral. Lineage: Eukaryota; Euglenozoa; Kinetoplastea; Trypanosomatida; Trypanosomatidae.
GUCCUCUUCUCUGUCGAGUCUUUCAUGAGCUACGCCUACUUUCCUUUGGGUAACCUCACGCACACAAAGAGCCCCUCUCCACACAGGACACAGCGCCACAAGCCGUACGCUGAGCGCUAGGGGACCACGGAAGCCACAUACAAUCAGCUGGAAGGACACUCACAUCACUGUAUCCUCUCGGAUACUAUCGCUGACUCUGUCAGCCGGGGGAAGGCCACUAGUGUCUUCAUUGUACGGUCCUCCAACUCCUAUCUUCGCUCACACGCGGAAGUCGUGAAGCGUGCUUCUUCCUCGCUCUUUCCGCUCUCGCGUGUUUUGCGUGGCUGAGAAGGUCGGCCUUGCUUCGUGUCCUCGGUUAUUGAUUACCCUCUCCGUUCACCGUCUGUUUUCUGUUGCUCUUUGGCCGAUGUCGUCGUUGGCCUUUACGCUUCGUCAAACGGUGGUGCCUGUGGUGACAAGAGGCGCUAAACCACUCAACUUUCCAGUUCGCCGCAUCUACUGCGUCGGGCACAACUACGACAGCCACGCACGGGAGAUGGGCGGCGCCAUCAACCGCACGGAGCCGUUCUUUUUCUUGAAGCCGACAGACAGCAUUACAACGGAUCUUGGCAAUCAUAAGACCCCCAAUGCAACCGUUAACAUUCGUUACCCGCCGGUCACGGAGUGCUACCAUCACGAGGUGGAGCUGGUCGUCGCACUGGGCUUCCCGACUAGCAAAAAAACGAUGUUCUCGGAAUCCGCGCAGGGCUCCGCCGACGCCCACUAUGCCAACAUGAAUAUAGAGGAAGUGCACGACAUCAUCUACGCCUAUGGCGUGGGGCUGGACAUGACACGAAGGGAUCUGCAGCUGGUGGCCAAGAGCAACGGCAAGCCCUGGGAUCUUUCCAAGGGCGCCGACGGCGCCGCCGUCGUCGCCCCCCUCGUCCUUUCGGAGGACCUGAGGGAGGCGCACCCGGAGAUGUUCAUGACGCUCGAUAAGGACGAGACGAAUGUGGUGAGCUGCGGAAGUAUUUUCCUCCACGUGAACCAGAAUGAGCGCCAGCGAAGUGACCUCAACUGCAUGGUGUCGUCGAUCGCGGAACUGAUUGCGCAACUGACCAAGUACGUCACACUGAAGCCCGGCGAUUUGCUCUUCACCGGGACCCCAUCCGGUGUGGGUGCUGUCCGUCGCGGUGAUGUGAUGGAGGCCGGCAUCCAGGGGCUUGGUACGCUCAAGGUGAACGUUAUAUAGCUGAGAAGCUGGUGGUGGUGGGGGGGGGCGUCGACCACAGGUUGGUAUGCGUGCGUUGUGAGCCUGGAUUCUACCUGCCACACCCCCUCCGUAGGUCUCUGCUGCGCGUAGUUGUGCAAGCGGUUGUCACGCUUGCCUUUUUAUCUUCUUGCUGCGCCGUUGAUGCGCAUCAUCCUCAUGUGCAGUGAAGCUGCUCCUCCUUGCGGUUGUACUUUCUUGCUUUUGUGUUGUGUGUGCUCGGGUUCCAUUCGUCGUCAUGCUAGCGAUUAUUGCUUUGGCUCGCCCUCUUGGUCCUCUUUUCAACAAUACGAAUAG